RNAcentral lists this long non-coding RNA (237 nucleotides) under Sorghum bicolor (sorghum). RNAcentral describes it as "long non-coding RNA (SBIC_LNC018361)". Lineage: Eukaryota; Viridiplantae; Streptophyta; Magnoliopsida; Poales; Poaceae. The record is from RNAcentral.
ACUGUCAGGAGGGCAUGAGCUGAAGUUUCUUUUUCCAUGAAUCAAAAUGGGACCGGAGUUUCCCUGCAACGUGCCCAAAGAAAAAAAUUGGUCAAAAGUAAAUCAAAUGUACAUGAUAAUAAAAUCGUCGGUCUAAAUACAGGACUCAUCAUACCAGGACAAUGAAAUCACAAUUGUCACACUGAUGUGUAUAAAUUUUUGGAUUGAGCAAAACCUCGAUCCAGAUAUUUUUAGAGU